GACGAACGCUGGCGGCGUGCUUAACACAUGCAAGUCGAGCGGACAGACGCUGCGUUUGUGGGGUGCUCGAGUGGCGAACGCGUGAGUAACACGUGUGUAACCUGCACUUGUCUUUGGGGUAACACCUGGAAACUGGGGCUCAUACCCGGUAGAAGAUCCUGCUGCACGGUGGGGGUUGGUAAGAGUCGGCGGUUGGGGAUGGACUGGCGGCUUAUCAGCUUGUUGGUGGGGUAGUGGCUUACCAAGGCUGUGAAGGGUAGCCGGCCUGAGAGGGUGACCGGCCACAAUGGGACUAAGAGAGGGACCAGAAGCCUAUGGGAGGCAGCAGUGGAGAGCAUUGCGCAAUGGGCCGAAGCCAGAGACGGAGACGCUGCGUGCGGGAUGACGGCCUUCGGGUGGUAAACCGCUGUCGCAGGUGCUGAGCCCGGAGUGACGGUAAUGGGUCAGGAAGCACCGGCUAACUACGUG
Molecule: ribosomal RNA, 468 nt
Filed under: uncultured bacterium
Lineage: Bacteria
Description: partial 16S ribosomal RNA
Rfam family: Bacterial small subunit ribosomal RNA
Source: RNAcentral